GCUGUGUCCACACCCAAAUCUCAUCUUGAACUUUAGUGCUCAUAAUCCCCAUGUGUCAUGGGAGGGACCCAAUAGCCGGUAAUUGAAUCACGCGGACAGUUUCCUCAUGCUGUUCUCAUGAUAGUGAGUGAGUUCUCACGAGAUCUGAUGCUAUUAUAAGGGGCUUUCCCCAUUCAUUCUGCACUUCUCCUUGCUGUCAUCAUCUGAAGAAGGAAUUAUUUGCUUCCCCUUCUGCCAUGAUUAUAAGUUUCCCGAGGCCUCCCCAACCAUGCUGAACUGAUUAUGGCUUGGAGCCUCAAAUCACUUUGUGAUUCAAGAUGGCAACUGGAAGAAAGAGGAGAUAACAAAAAGAGACCCAAAGUGACACCAAGUCUGAGCACACCAUUGGAGAACCUAGGAAGCUCUACCCUAAAGAACUUUCAGACAUGUGCACAAGAAGACCUCUCCCUCCAAUCCCAAAGGGGUCAGAAACUGCAAUUAGCAAGCUGGAGGAGGAGGAGGAGGAGGAAGAGGCACAGAAGCAGGAGGUGGGGAGCCUGAGACAGAGAUCAUCCUGUCUGCCCUUCCCACUUCAGGCUACCACCUCUUGCAGACCUACGUUAAAUGAAAUGAGAAGCCUCAACUUUGACUACUAUUAAGAGACCUGGAUUCUUUGGCCCGCAUGCCCUACCAUGAGCCAGGGUCACCUUCCUGACAGAUUCAUCUCUUAGACUCUCAAAUGCACAUCACCUGACAUGAAGUUCUGUCCAGCUCUGUGCUUCCUCCACUCUGCCCCAACGACCAGAUUCGACCUCUCUGUAGCAACACCAGCCCACAUCAAAACUGGUCAUGCCACACCCACAGGGAGGAAUCCCAGCCCUUCCCAGUUAUGCCUUCAGCCUCUACCUGUCCCAUCACCCUUUGCUGCUGAGAUCCCAGUAUGCCUUGCGGUUGAACCCAUAGAAAGUUGGAAUGAAAAAAAGAACUAGGAGGCACUCAUCUGCAACUAUUUCUUGUGAUGAAAAAUGGUGCAACCAUUAAAGGAGAAAGGAGGAAAGGAAAAAUUGGGGUCUUAAAAAGUACCCUUCAGUUAUCAUAUAAGACUAGAAAAGCAGCCACAAAGUGUUCUUAAUGUUACUCAGUGGUUAUCAUUUCAAAUCAGACUCAGACCAGGAAGAUGCAAGGAUAAUCAUGAAAUAUGAGGCACACCGCUGCUGAGCACCAGUUAGUUCCAAAUGUGUUCAUUUAUUCAUUUGCAGUAACAGCCUCGGAAAUCAGUGGAGUGGUCUCUAGGAAGUAAAGGAAUAAAAUAAUUUUCCAACUCUCAUAGUCAGAGGGCUAAUUCAAAUUUCAAAAGGAACACUAACUUGCUUAAAGUACCAUAAAAAUAGAGAGGGGGCGGGGAGAGUGGAAAUUCCAUCCUGCUUUAAUCACUGUCUCCUGCAAGUUUCCUUAAUGAUUUCCAGCUGCCUCCAUUUAGGCUGUUGCUUUGACAGAACUUUCAUACAAACUUGGAACAUUUAACGUAUCCAAAUUUUUUUUUUUUACUUUGCCCUCAACUGCAUUCUAACCAAAAGCAGAUUUCUCUUGGAUUAUAUAAGAAUAUGAUGAGCUGGAAAGGGGCGGAGUGAGGCAAGGAGUCUGCCUUUGCUUUUUGCAGUCUCCACAAACCAUUUCACAAGAGGCACAAAGGAAAAUGUGAAAACCCAAGGAGAAGCCCACACCCUUGUAGAAAGCCAAAAUAUGGUUUCACUUCAACAUACUACUGCAUUCUGAAGAGAAACUGACUA
This 1769-nucleotide long non-coding RNA is filed under the name Homo sapiens (human). RNAcentral's name for it is "HSALNT0125748". The record is from RNAcentral. Lineage: Eukaryota; Metazoa; Chordata; Mammalia; Primates; Hominidae.